GGUUUUAGCCCGCGGGAUGCUACGUGGCCCCGCCCUCUUCCGGGAGCUGGUGGCGCUUGGGAGACGCGGCCCGUGUUCUGCGUCCGGCGCCCCCUGCCUCACGUCUCCAAUGCUGCGUUUUCUGAGCUGGUUCUCUUAGCUGCAAUAUUGCUGUCCGGCCCUCUGCUUUCAGCUUUAGCAAGGAGGCCACCAUUUGCUCGAACCUAAGUGGCGAAUUCCCCGUCACCCAUGCUUAACCUGGCUUCUGAGGAAAAUCUAUUCAAGAGUGGUGCUAUCCCCAGUACCUGGAAGACUUUGAUAGUUCUGGAUACAAAGCAUGUGAAAAUAUCAAGUAACAUUUCACAUCCUGAUGAAGAGCAUGCUGCUAAAAACACCCCUCUGGAAAGUGGCGACUGUGAUGCUUCCGCAUAUGCCCGAAUUCCGAGAAGAAAUCCCCCAACUAACAGAGGCAAUUCUCCCUGGAAGGCAGGAAUCCCACCAUGGAGAAUCAACAUGCGAUCAGUCACUGUUCUGUAUGAAUGCACAUUUCUCAGGUCUCUGGAGAAUUCGCAGAGAAAUUGUCAGUCCUUCACCAGACUUUAUAGGACUCUUCAGUUUAUGGAAGAGGUUCAGAAAAAGAGCUGAUGCAGGUCUUGGCACUGUGUCAGUCACAGAUGAAGGAUAUCUGUUUGGACUAAGAUGACAAUGCAUUUCUUGGAGGAAAAUGGAUGGCAGUGGAAAGCCUCUUCUGAGCUGACAAAGAACAAAAAUGGCACCCACACCCUUUUGUCUAAAAACAUGACAUCUUCUCAGGCCUUCUGGGUACUGUUUCUUUUUGUUCCUUUUUUUUUUUUUUAAAGCUAAAGGUGAAUUGACAGUGUCUACCCUGAACGUGCACUGUAUUAAGCAUUGCAUUUUCAUAUGUAUAUGAAUGUAUAUUUCAUUUUAUCCUCAAACCUAGAUUGUGAGAUUCAUAUCAUUUUUUUUGGAAAUGAUAUGCUAAUUGUCUUGAAAUUGUCUUGAAUUGCCUUGUCUUGAAAUCUGGGAUUGUUUGUCUUGAAAUUUAGGAUGAUAUAUUUCUUUAUGAAGCAGCUUUUUAAGAAUAACUCAUCAGUGAUCUUGUUCAAGGCUGAACCCUGUUGGUGAGGUUCCCAGUUUGCACAUUUUCUACCUUUGCCUCAGAUGUGAGAUAGCCAGUCUGAAGUCCAGAUACAAGCAUACAUCUUUCUCACUUAAAAACAAUUCUAGACAAAGAAACCCAGUAUUUUAAUGGAAAAGCAUGGGAAAAAAAAUUAUUACAUGAUGCAUGUACAUUGAAAUUCUCCCAGCUAGUACUUUCUCCUUUUUCUCACAGACUUCAUUUUGCUAUUCAAAGCAACAAUUUGCUUAGGGCACAUUUUAUUAGCAUUUGGGUUGAUAAUGUACAGUAUGCAAAUUAGAUAUGAAAGCCACUGUUGCAAAAAAGAAAAAAAAAGCCAAUCUAAUUUAGGAAUCUGAUCUCUAUUUGCAGUUGCUCAUCCAUGUCACCCUGCCCAACAUGUGUCCAUGGGCCAGAUGCAUGAUGCCCUGCAGAGUAUCAUAAUACUCAGUUGUUAAUUUCAUAGUCUACUAUAGCAUCAAAGAAUGGCAGAGGCAGCCCACAAGCAGGAGAAGACAGCUAGCUGUGAAGCAGUUAAAUGCUUGCCUUCCCUUGGUAAAAGAAAUCUUUCUGAGGCAACUCCGCUGACUUCAGAACUUGAAUAUUUAUGCUACAGAGGAAAUCAGCCAUAAAUUUACAUUUUUAGCAGCUAGGUUAUCGCAGGGACGGAAAGGAAGAAUAAUAAUAUUAAAAAAGGAAUUGGACAAUAUAAUCAGUCCUUCACAAAAUCUGGCCCAACUUUAAAAGAUAAUUAUUGAAAAUAGAAGUCCCUUUGUUCCUAAUUAGACAAAGAAUUGUCUUAAUACAAAUUGUUCUUAAAUCCAUCUUUAAUCAAAUUUGUUCAGUGCUUAGCACUCCAUUAUAGUAACAGCUUAUUUAUCUGACUCUGUCAGGGAGUUAGUUGUUCCACAUAAGUGAAUUUCACAGAUAACUGAAACAUACACCCUCAAGUGAAAAAACUUUAGAAAAAUGAACCAUUUUGAUGAAAACACUACUAAAAUGUAUUAUGCAACACCUGCUAUCUUAAAUAGCGUUUGUCAAAUAAUUAAUGCCUUUUCUAAAUGUAGCCAAUAUUUCCCAAGAAGUAACAAAUAGGAACAGAAAUGGGGCAGGGAAUAAAAACGAAGACUCCUCAAAUCUGCCACGGCUGCUGGUUUUGCAAUCACAGGUGUUUCAGUUCUUUGAGUCAUUGUCAUCUGCAACUCUCAAGCUGUCCCUGCUGCUGUGGAGGCAAGAUGUCACUAAGGGGACUGUUGCCUACGGAUGCUUCGUGGCUGGCCCCUGCUUCUGCCACUGUGAAUAAGUGAAGGCUCUGUUACUGCCCCUGGAGGACUCACUGACUCUGGAACCACUUCUCGUGAUGUCUGCAAGCUCCUAUUGUGGUAGGGUCGCAUCUCUGAAGUUACUCUAAGGAAGCGGAGAGAACAUUUUUCCCCUUUUUUGCCUUACUGUGCUUUUGAGGUCUCACGGAGAUCUUGUGUGGAAGCAAGUCUCUCUUUUCUUACUUCCAGCCAAAUCAUUUCUUAAGAAUAGACAAGUUCGUGGGGACUUGGCUGAAGAGCAACAGAAACAACAAACACACUGUGGGGUGCCUCAAAUAAUUUUAUUUUCUUGGAGGCUUAAAGAUUCUUGUUUUCUUAAAAAUAGAUAAUCUAUGCGUACCUCACCAGCCCACCUAAUGUGCCCUCACAUGGCUGAGUCUCAGUGGGAACCCAACUUAAGCUCAAGCCAUUAGGGCAAUAUCUGAGAGGCACAGUUUUUGUGACAAAUCGGCUUUUUUCUGGGUAGCUAACCAGUGGUUAGGUGCUGAGUUCCUUAUUACCUGGCUGUUGCUUUCCUCUUUUAACUCUCCCAAUUCUAAUUGGCUGCUUUCAGUCUAUUAUGAUUUGACAACAGAGAUAACCAAAGUUGGUGGUUCCUUGUAUAAAACAUGAGUCUAUGAAGUAUAAUGAAAGCCCUUAUUGCAGUCGUCUUCAACAUUUUUGAAAUCAUGCAAUUGUUAGCAGCAUAUGGGAAGUGAUCAAAGUUUCCCCAAGCAGUUUUAAAGAUUGGAUUUAACUAUAAUACAAAUAAGACUUCAGUGUAAUGUCUUACAAAACACCCACCACUGUCUUUGUUCUCUUGGACUUAUUUAACCAUGUCGCCACUGUGUUGUUUUCUUUAGAAACAUUUAUUUUCCUCACCCUACUUGCUUACGCUUUUUCAUAUUCUGGUAAACAUAAGACCUUUCUUUGAAAUACAUAGUUUUAAAUAGCUCAUAUUUAUGGAACGGGACCCACUCAGCUCAACCUUCCAUGUGAAAGAUAUCUCUGAAGUUGUACGAUUAUGACCUAUGAUUAUGACCCAUAAUUUUUUUUUUUGAUAUAUAUUUUAUUGCAUUUUAGGUUUUGGGGUACAUGUGAAGAGUAUGCAAGAUUUUGCAUAGGUACACACAUGGCAGUGUGAUUUGCUGCCUUCCUCCCCAUCACCUAUAUCUGGUAUUUCUCCCCAUGCUAUCCCUCCCCAACUCCCCA
RNAcentral lists this long non-coding RNA (3630 nucleotides) under Aotus nancymaae (Ma's night monkey). RNAcentral describes it as "lncRNA (ENSANAG00000039575.1)". The record is from RNAcentral. Lineage: Eukaryota; Metazoa; Chordata; Mammalia; Primates; Aotidae.